RNAcentral lists this ribosomal RNA (992 nucleotides) under uncultured bacterium. Its description in RNAcentral is "bacterial SSU rRNA". It matches the Rfam family "Bacterial small subunit ribosomal RNA", at positions 8 to 980 of the family's 1533-position model. The record is from RNAcentral.
AGAGUUUGAUCCUGGCUCAGGACGAACGCUGGCGGCGUGCCUAAUACAUGCAAGUCGAGCGAAUCUGAGGGAGCUUGCUCCCAAAGAUUAGCGGCGGACGGGUGAGUAACACGUGGGCAACCUGCCUGUAAGACUGGGAUAACUUCGGGAAACCGGAGCUAAUACCGGAUAAUUCUUUCCCUCACAUGAGGGAAAGCUGAAAGACGGUUUCGGCUGUCACUUACAGAUGGACCCGCGGCGCAUUAGCUAGUUGGUGAGGUAACGGCUCACCAAGGCAACGAUGCGUAGCCGACCUGAGAGGGUGAUCGGCCACAUUGGGACUGAGACACGGCCCAAACUCCUACGGGAGGCAGCAGUAGGGAAUCUUCCGCAAUGGACGAAAGUCUGACGGAGCAACGCCGCGUGAGUGAUGAAGGUUUUCGGAUCGUAAAACUCUGUUGUUAGGGAAGAACAAGUAUCGGAGUAACUGCCGGUACCUUGACGGUACCUAACCAGAAAGCCACGGCUAACUACGUGCCAGCAGCCGCGGUAAUACGUAGGUGGCAAGCGUUGUCCGGAAUUAUUGGGCGUAAAGCGCGCGCAGGCGGUUCUUUAAGUCUGAUGUGAAAUCUUGCGGCUCAACCGCAAGCGGUCAUUGGAAACUGGGGGACUUGAGUGCAGAAGAGGAAAGCGGAAUUCCACGUGUAGCGGUGAAAUGCGUAGAGAUGUGGAGGAACACCAGUGGCGAAGGCGGCUUUCUGGUCUGUAACUGACGCUGAGGCGCGAAAGCGUGGGGAGCAAACAGGAUUAGAUACCCUGGUAGUCCACGCCGUAAACGAUGAGUGCUAAGUGUUAGAGGGUUUCCGCCCUUUAGUGCUGCAGCUAACGCAUUAAGCACUCUGCCUGGGGAGUACGGUCGCAGACUGAAACUCAAAGGAAUUGACGGGGGCCCGCACAAGCGGUGGGAGCAUGGUGGUUUAAUUCGAAGCAACGCGAAGAACCCUUACCAGGUC